This 254-nucleotide ribosomal RNA is filed under the name uncultured bacterium. RNAcentral's name for it is "partial 16S ribosomal RNA". It matches the Rfam family "Bacterial small subunit ribosomal RNA", at positions 524 to 776 of the family's 1533-position model. The record is from RNAcentral.
UACAGAGGUGGCUAGCGUUGUUCGGAUUCAUUGGGUGUAAAGGGUGCGUAGGCGGCUUGGAAAGUCAAAUGUGAAAGCCCACAGCUUAACUGUGGAAAUGCAUUUGAAACUUCCAGGCUUGAGUGUGAGAGAGGUGAAGGGAAUUCCCGGUGUAAGGGUGAAAUCUGCAGAGAUCGGGAGGAACACCAGUAGCGAAGGCGCUUCACUGGCUCGCAACUGACGCUGAGUGCACGAAGGCGUGGGGAGCAAACGGG